RNA transcript from Brassica napus (rape), 1069 nucleotides. It is a transcript of the gene named L-type lectin-domain containing receptor kinase IV.2-like, with no coding region annotated. The transcript has 3 exons. The record is from RefSeq and is a predicted model, not a curated record. Lineage: Eukaryota; Viridiplantae; Streptophyta; Magnoliopsida; Brassicales; Brassicaceae.
GAAACAAAUUAAGUCUCAGCCCAUAUCAUGCUUUAUCUCUCGCGUGAAUCUCUCUCUCUCCGUUUCAUCUUCCGGCGAUCAAACAUGGUGGCAAAAAAAACGGUCACGCCUUCUACACAAAACCAAUCCAGUUCAAAGACAUACCAAACGCCACCGUCUCUUCCGUCUCCACCACCUUCGUCUUCGCCAUAUACUCCCAGAUCCCCACUCUAAGCGGCCAUGGAAUCGUCUUCGUCGUCUCUCCAUCCCAUAGCCUCACUUCCGCACUCCCAAUCAAGUCAAUACAUCGGUCUCUUCAACAACUCAAACAACGGUAACGAAACGAACCACGUCUUCACUGUCGAGUUCGACACGAUCCAAAGCAACGAGUUCGGAGAUCCGAACGAUAACCACGACGGAAUCGAUAUAAACGGUUUAAGAUCGUUUGAGUACUCAGCCGCUGAGUACUGGAACGAGAGAGAUGCAAGGUUUUGGUGUUGGACACAUGCGUGAUACCAAAACAAAAGGUUUAACCUUUUUGGUUGGAAUCCACUUUAACUGUUGUGAACAUGGAUUUGGGUUUGGGUAUGGGGAACACCACUAGAGAUAGAGCUUGACGGUGUAAAAACUUCCAUUAUAUUACCCCGACACUGAAGGAUUCGAAAGCGUUGGAAAGUCUACUGUUUAUGACGACUCUUUGAACAUUUAGACAUUUUGUUUGAUGAUGCUUUGGAUAUCUAAUCAACUGUUUUUGCUGAUUUUUUUUCAGAAUAUUUGCUCGAGCAACGGUGAUGACUUCAGUGCUGAUUAAUAAUCUGCCUGAAACUGUAAGUUGACCUGCCUCGGUCUUUUUCUUAUGGUUCUAAAAACAGUAUACUUAUGACCCAAGAAUGUAGAACCUGGUAUCCAAUGAUCUAUAUGUACUUCAUCAGAGUAUGUAUCCGACUUAUGAAUAAACAUAAUUUAGCUAUUUAUUUUGUCUUAUUUAUCUUCCCUGCAGCUAAUUGUGGCUUUGAGAAUUCAUUUUCUAUUUUAAAUGCUUUUUAAACUGGUGUUUGAUGAUUAUCUGUCUCACAUUGUUUUUGUUUCU